UAGGCCGAGAGGCGCUGCAACGGACCGCGCCGGUCCGCCACGCUCGGUCUGCCACGAAGGCUAACAAGGGCGCCUCCCAGAU
Molecule: non-coding RNA, 82 nt
Filed under: Kibdelosporangium aridum
Lineage: Bacteria; Bacillati; Actinomycetota; Actinomycetes; Pseudonocardiales; Pseudonocardiaceae
Description: SAH sequence
Rfam family: SAH (S-adenosyl-L-homocysteine) riboswitch aptamer
Source: Rfam by way of RNAcentral